CCGGUUGGGAAUUCGGCGGGAAAUCCCUAUAUUCAAGGCGUCGGGCUUGCCCGACUAUGACGAUAAACGUCUUUCGUAAUAAGCGUUCGGACCCGGGGGCAGUACCCGGCGCCUCCACCAAAUUCCCGGCCCCGCGGCCCUCGAGCCGCAGGCCUGACGGGGGCGAAACAGGAUCGACGGGCGUCUAAAGGUCUGACUUUCGUCCGGCAUGGUUCCGCCGUUAUCGGGCCGUAUCUACAGGUGCCAACGACAAUGUUGAGCCCAUCGCUGUUGCCGCUUAAUAAGCGAUAACAAGCGCGGUUCGGGGGGCACCGGGCAACAGAAGCCCCCCACU
Molecule: transfer-messenger RNA, 334 nt
Filed under: Alphaproteobacteria bacterium
Lineage: Bacteria; Pseudomonadati; Pseudomonadota; Alphaproteobacteria
Rfam family: Alphaproteobacteria transfer-messenger RNA
About the family: Bacterial tmRNA, also known as 10Sa RNA or SsrA, is named for its dual tRNA and mRNA-like properties. Its role is to liberate the mRNA from a stalled ribosome.
Source: RNAcentral